CCUACGGGAGACAGCAGUGGGGAAUAUUGGGCAAUGGGCGCAAGCCUGACCCAGCAACGCCGCGUGAAGGAAGAAGGCUUUCGGGUUGUAAACUUCUUUUGUCAGGGACGAAGCAAGUGACGGUACCUGACGAAUAAGCCACGGCUAACUACGUGCCAGCAGCCGCGGUAAUACGGAGGUGGCAAGCGUUAUCCGGAUUUACUGGGUGUAAAGGGCGUGUAGGCGGGACUGCAAGUCAGAUGUGAAAACCACGGGCUCAACCUAUGGCCUGCAUUUGAAACUGUCGGUCUUGAGUACUGGAGAGGCAGACGGAAUGCGCAGUGUAGCGGUGAAAUGCGUAGAUAUUAGGAGGAACACCAGUGGCGAAGGCGGUCUGCCGGAUACACACUGACGCUGAGGCGCGAAAGCGUGGGGAGCAAACAGGAUUAGAUACCCCUGUAGUC
RNAcentral lists this ribosomal RNA (443 nucleotides) under uncultured bacterium. Its description in RNAcentral is "partial 16S ribosomal RNA". It matches the Rfam family "Bacterial small subunit ribosomal RNA", at positions 338 to 795 of the family's 1533-position model. The record is from RNAcentral.